GGUAUGGGAUGAGCUUGCGUCCGAUUAGCUAGUUGGCGGGGCAACGGCCCACCAAGGCGACGAUCGGUAGCCGGCCUGAGAGGGUGAUCGGCCACAUUGGGACUGAGAUACGGCCCAGACUCCUACGGGAGGCAGCAGUAGGGAAUAUUGCACAAUGGGGGAAACCCUGAUGCAGCAACGCCACGUGUGGGAAGAAGCAUUUCGGUGUGUAAACCACUGUCAUGAGGGAAUAAGGCCCGCCUUCGGACGGGAUUGAAUGUACCUUGAGAGGAAGCACCGGCAAACUUCGUGCCAGCAGCCGCGGUAAUACGGGGGGUGCAAGCGUUGUUCGGAAUUACUGGGCGUAAAGGGAGCGUAGGCGGAGAUUCAAGCGGAUUGUACAAUCCCGGGGCCCAACCCCGGCUCUGUAGUCCGAACUGGAUCUCUUGGAUAGUUCAGGGGCAGGC
RNAcentral lists this ribosomal RNA (446 nucleotides) under uncultured bacterium. Its description in RNAcentral is "bacterial SSU rRNA". It matches the Rfam family "Bacterial small subunit ribosomal RNA", at positions 217 to 662 of the family's 1533-position model. The record is from RNAcentral.